This 307-nucleotide unclassified non-coding RNA is filed under the name plant metagenome. Its description in RNAcentral is "partial contains 5.8S ribosomal RNA, internal transcribed spacer 2, and large subunit ribosomal RNA". The stretch from base 1 to 105 matches the Rfam family "5.8S ribosomal RNA", at positions 50 to 154 of the family's 154-position model. The record is from RNAcentral.
AAAAUGCGAUAAGUAAUGUGAAUUGCAGAAUUCAGUGAAUCAUCGAAUCUUUGAACGCACAUUGCGCCCGCCAGCACUCUGGCGGGCAUGCCUGUUCGAGCGUCAUUUCAACCCUCAGAACCCCAUGCGGGAUCUGGCGUUGGGGAUUGGCAUCCAGCCAGCCCCGAAAUCUAGUGGCGGUCCCUCCGCGACCUCCCCUGUGCAGUAGCGAUACCUCGCAGCGGGACAGCGGUCUGACCACGCCGUAAAACCCCCAACUUCUCAAGGUUGACCUCGAAUCAGGUAGGAAUACCCGCUGAACUUAAGC